CAUUUGAAACUGGCAGGCUAGAGUACUGUAGAGGGGGGUAGAAUUUCAGGUGUAGCGGUGAAAUGCGUAGAGAUCUGAAGGAAUACCAGUGGCGAAGGCGGCCCCCUGGACAGAUGCUGACACUCAGAUGCGAAAGCGUAGGGAGCAAACAGGAUUAGAUACCCUGGUAGUCCACGCCGUAAACGAUGUCUACUUGGAGGUUGUGGCCUUGAGCCGUGGCUUUCGGAGCUAACGCGUUAAGUAGACCGCCUGGGGAGUACGGUCGCAAGAUUAAAACUCAAAUGAAUUGACGGGGGCCCGCACAAGCGGUGGAGCAUGUGGUUUAAUUCGAUGCAACGCGAAGAACCUUACCUACUCUUGACAUCCAGAGAACUCGCUAGAGAUAGCUUGGUGCCUUCGGGAACUCUGAGACAGGUGCUGCAUGACUGUCGUCAGCUCGUGUUGUGAAAUGUUGGGUUAAGUCCCGCAACGAGCGCAACCCUUAUCCUUGUUUGCCAGCACGUAAUGGUGGGAACUCCAGGGAGACUGCCGGUGAUAAACCGGAGGAAGGUGGGGACGACGUCAAGUCAUCAUGGCCCUUACGAGUAGGGCUACACACGUGCUACAAUGGCGCAUACAGAGGGCAGCCAACCAGCGAUGGUGAGCGAAUCCCAAAAAGUGCGUCGUAGUCCGGAUUGGAGUCUGCAACUCGACUCCAUGAAGUCGGAAUCGCUAGUAAUCGUGAAUCAGAAUGUCACGGUGAAUACGUUCCCGGCCCUUGUACACCCCACCCGUCACACCAUGGGAGUGGGCUGCAAAAGAAGUGGGUAG
RNAcentral lists this ribosomal RNA (810 nucleotides) under uncultured bacterium. RNAcentral's name for it is "bacterial SSU rRNA". It matches the Rfam family "Bacterial small subunit ribosomal RNA", at positions 624 to 1433 of the family's 1533-position model. The record is from RNAcentral.